This 29-nucleotide small nuclear RNA is filed under the name Cervus elaphus hippelaphus. The record is from RNAcentral. Lineage: Eukaryota; Metazoa; Chordata; Mammalia; Artiodactyla; Cervidae.
UGCUCGCUUUGGCAGCACAUAUACUAAAA